This 465-nucleotide ribosomal RNA is filed under the name uncultured bacterium. RNAcentral describes it as "partial 16S ribosomal RNA". It matches the Rfam family "Bacterial small subunit ribosomal RNA", at positions 30 to 507 of the family's 1533-position model. The record is from RNAcentral.
AGCGAACGCUGGCGGCAUGCCUAACACAUGCAAGUCGCACGGUUCGGCUCCGGCCGGUCAGUGGCGGACGGGUGAGGACCGCGUAGGGAUCUGUCCUCUGGUGGGGGAUAACCGCGGGAAACUGCGGCUAAGACCGCAUGGGGCGCCGGUGUGAGAGCCGGUGUCAAAGGCGCGCAUCGCGAGGUGUGUGUCGGCGGGGGGUGAGCCUGCGUCCGAUUAGCUGGCUGGCGGGGUAGUGGACCACCAAGGCGUCGAUCGGUAGCUGCUCUGAGAGGGUGGUCAGCGACACUGGAACUGAGACACGAACCAGACUAGUACGGGAGGCAGGAGGGGGGAAUAUUGGAGGAUGGGGGCAAGCGUGAUCCAGCAUUGUCGCGUGAGUGAAGAAGGUAGUCGGAUUGUAAAGCCCUUUCGACGAAGACGGUGGUGACGGUACCUGCAGAAGAAGCCCCGGCUAACUUCGUG